CCUACGGGAGGCUGCAGUGGGGCAUAUUGGGCAAUGGGCGCAAGCCUGACCCAGCAACGCCGCGUGAAGGAAGAAGGCUUUCGGGUUGUAAACUUCUUUUCUCAGGGACGAAGCAAGUGACGGUACCUGAGGAAUAAGCCACGGCUAACUACGUGCCAGCAGCCGCGGUAAUACGUAGGUGGCAAGCGUUAUCCGGAUUUACUGGGUGUAAAGGGCGUGUAGGCGGGGACGCAAGUCAGAUGUGAAAACCACGGGCUCAACCUGUGGCCUGCAUUUGACACUGUGUUUAUUGAGUACUGGAGAGGCAGACGGAAUUCCUAGGGUAGCGGUGAAAUGCGUAGAUAUUAGGAGGAACACCAGGGGCGAAGGCGGUCUGCUGGACAGCAACUGAGGCUGAGGCGCGAAAGCGUGGGGAGUAAACAGGAUUAGAUACCCGGGUAGUC
This 443-nucleotide ribosomal RNA is filed under the name uncultured bacterium. Its description in RNAcentral is "partial 16S ribosomal RNA". It matches the Rfam family "Bacterial small subunit ribosomal RNA", at positions 338 to 795 of the family's 1533-position model. The record is from RNAcentral.